RNAcentral lists this ribosomal RNA (2930 nucleotides) under Escherichia coli. RNAcentral's name for it is "23S ribosomal RNA". It matches the Rfam family "Bacterial large subunit ribosomal RNA". The record is from RNAcentral. Lineage: Bacteria; Pseudomonadati; Pseudomonadota; Gammaproteobacteria; Enterobacterales; Enterobacteriaceae.
GGGUUGUGAGGUUAAGCGACUAAGCGUACACGGUGGAUGCCCUGGCAGUCAGAGGCGAUGAAGGACGUGCUAAUCUGCGAUAAGCGUCGGUAAGGUGAUAUGAACCGUUAUAACCGGCGAUUUCCGAAUGGGGAAACCCAGUGUGUUUCGACACACUAUCAUUAACUGAAUCCAUAGGUUAAUGAGGCGAACCGGGGGAACUGAAACAUCUAAGUACCCCGAGGAAAAGAAAUCAACCGAGAUUCCCCCAGUAGCGGCGAGCGAACGGGGAGCAGCCCAGAGCCUGAAUCAGUGUGUGUGUUAGUGGAAGCGUCUGGAAAGGCGCGCGAUACAGGGUGACAGCCCCGUACACAAAAAUGCACAUGCUGUGAGCUCGAUGAGUAGGGCGGGACACGUGGUAUCCUGUCUGAAUAUGGGGGGACCAUCCUCCAAGGCUAAAUACUCCUGACUGACCGAUAGUGAACCAGUACCGUGAGGGAAAGGCGAAAAGAACCCCGGCGAGGGGAGUGAAAAAGAACCUGAAACCGUGUACGUACAAGCAGUGGGAGCACGCUUAGGCGUGUGACUGCGUACCUUUUGUAUAAUGGGUCAGCGACUUAUAUUCUGUAGCAAGGUUAACCGAAUAGGGGAGCCGAAGGGAAACCGAGUCUUAACUGGGCGUUAAGUUGCAGGGUAUAGACCCGAAACCCGGUGAUCUAGCCAUGGGCAGGUUGAAGGUUGGGUAACACUAACUGGAGGACCGAACCGACUAAUGUUGAAAAAUUAGCGGAUGACUUGUGGCUGGGGGUGAAAGGCCAAUCAAACCGGGAGAUAGCUGGUUCUCCCCGAAAGCUAUUUAGGUAGCGCCUCGUGAAUUCAUCUCCGGGGGUAGAGCACUGUUUCGGCAAGGGGGUCAUCCCGACUUACCAACCCGAUGCAAACUGCGAAUACCGGAGAAUGUUAUCACGGGAGACACACGGCGGGUGCUAACGUCCGUCGUGAAGAGGGAAACAACCCAGACCGCCAGCUAAGGUCCCAAAGUCAUGGUUAAGUGGGAAACGAUGUGGGAAGGCCCAGACAGCCAGGAUGUUGGCUUAGAAGCAGCCAUCAUUUAAAGAAAGCGUAAUAGCUCACUGGUCGAGUCGGCCUGCGCGGAAGAUGUAACGGGGCUAAACCAUGCACCGAAGCUGCGGCAGCGACGCUGAUGCGUUGUUGGGUAGGGGAGCGUUCUGUAAGCCUGCGAAGGUGUGCUGUGAGGCAUGCUGGAGGUAUCAGAAGUGCGAAUGCUGACAUAAGUAACGAUAAAGCGGGUGAAAAGCCCGCUCGCCGGAAGACCAAGGGUUCCUGUCCAACGUUAAUCGGGGCAGGGUGAGUCGACCCCUAAGGCGAGGCCGAAAGGCGUAGUCGAUGGGAAACAGGUUAAUAUUCCUGUACUUGGUGUUACUGCGAAGGGGGGACGGAGAAGGCUAUGUUGGCCGGGCGACGGUUGUCCCGGUUUAAGCGUGUAGGCUGGUUUUCCAGGCAAAUCCGGAAAAUCAAGGCUGAGGCGUGAUGACGAGGCACUACGGUGCUGAAGCAACAAAUGCCCUGCUUCCAGGAAAAGCCUCUAAGCAUCAGGUAACAUCAAAUCGUACCCCAAACCGACACAGGUGGUCAGGUAGAGAAUACCAAGGCGCUUGAGAGAACUCGGGUGAAGGAACUAGGCAAAAUGGUGCCGUAACUUCGGGAGAAGGCACGCUGAUAUGUAGGUGAAGCGACUUGCUCGUGGAGCUGAAAUCAGUCGAAGAUACCAGCUGGCUGCAACUGUUUAUUAAAAACACAGCACUGUGCAAACACGAAAGUGGACGUAUACGGUGUGACGCCUGCCCGGUGCCGGAAGGUUAAUUGAUGGGGUUAGCGCAAGCGAAGCUCUUGAUCGAAGCCCCGGUAAACGGCGGCCGUAACUAUAACGGUCCUAAGGUAGCGAAAUUCCUUGUCGGGUAAGUUCCGACCUGCACGAAUGGCGUAAUGAUGGCCAGGCUGUCUCCACCCGAGACUCAGUGAAAUUGAACUCGCUGUGAAGAUGCAGUGUACCCGCGGCAAGACGGAAAGACCCCGUGAACCUUUACUAUAGCUUGACACUGAACAUUGAGCCUUGAUGUGUAGGAUAGGUGGGAGGCUUAGAAGUGUGGACGCCAGUCUGCAUGGAGCCGACCUUGAAAUACCACCCUUUAAUGUUUGAUGUUCUAACGUUGACCCGUAAUCCGGGUUGCGGACAGUGUCUGGUGGGUAGUUUGACUGGGGCGGUCUCCUCCUAAAGAGUAACGGAGGAGCACGAAGGUUGGCUAAUCCUGGUCGGACAUCAGGAGGUUAGUGCAAUGGCAUAAGCCAGCUUGACUGCGAGCGUGACGGCGCGAGCAGGUGCGAAAGCAGGUCAUAGUGAUCCGGUGGUUCUGAAUGGAAGGGCCAUCGCUCAACGGAUAAAAGGUACUCCGGGGAUAACAGGCUGAUACCGCCCAAGAGUUCAUAUCGACGGCGGUGUUUGGCACCUCGAUGUCGGCUCAUCACAUCCUGGGGCUGAAGUAGGUCCCAAGGGUAUGGCUGUUCGCCAUUUAAAGUGGUACGCGAGCUGGGUUUAGAACGUCGUGAGACAGUUCGGUCCCUAUCUGCCGUGGGCGCUGGAGAACUGAGGGGGGCUGCUCCUAGUACGAGAGGACCGGAGUGGACGCAUCACUGGUGUUCGGGUUGUCAUGCCAAUGGCACUGCCCGGUAGCUAAAUGCGGAAGAGAUAAGUGCUGAAAGCAUCUAAGCACGAAACUUGCCCCGAGAUGAGUUCUCCCUGACCCUUUAAGGGUCCUGAAGGAACGUUGAAGACGACGACGUUGAUAGGCCGGGUGUGUAAGCGCAGCGAUGCGUUGAGCUAACCGGUACUAAUGAACCGUGAGGCUUAACCUUACAACGCCGAAGCUGUU